Long non-coding RNA from Drosophila willistoni, 394 nucleotides. RefSeq lists it as uncharacterized. The transcript has 3 exons. NCBI's taxonomy places the organism in Eukaryota, Metazoa, Arthropoda, Insecta, Diptera, Drosophilidae. The record is from RefSeq and is a predicted model, not a curated record.
AAGUGAAGUGGCGCAUUGCCAGUCAUCUCGACUUUAGAGGGCAUCACUCAUUAUCACAGUCAUCGUAGUCAGUUGUAUAAAGAGGAGGAAAAACCCAGGUAUUCAACCAAACAGUCAGCCCACCUUCUCAAACAAAAAACGAAAAAUCAGAGUUUGCGGAAAUAUGAUUUAUGAACGUGAGGCUAAGUCAUAUAUGGCCAACAAAUAUAUAUACUAUAAGUAUAUAUGUAUACCUCCUCCUAUAUAUGUAGAUGGCUGACCUAAAUCUGUAGUGAAAGUGAAAUGCGCUCAUAUGCAAAUGAAGACUUAAAACCAACUCAACUCAUUGGCAAAGAAUUUUUUCUGUUUUAAAGUGAAAGGCGAAAACUGCAAAAUAAAGCAAUUUUUUAAUUAC